RNAcentral lists this ribosomal RNA (497 nucleotides) under uncultured bacterium. RNAcentral describes it as "partial 16S ribosomal RNA". It matches the Rfam family "Bacterial small subunit ribosomal RNA", at positions 28 to 507 of the family's 1533-position model. The record is from RNAcentral.
GAUGAACGCUGGCGGCGUGCCUAAUACAUGCAAGUCGAGCGAACGGACGAGAAGCUUGCUUCUCUGAUGUUAGCGGCGGACGGGUGAGUAACACGUGGAUAACCUACCUAUAAGACUGGGAUAACUUCGGGAAACCGGAGCUAAUACCGGAUGAUAUUUUGAACCGCAUGGUUCAAAAGUGAAAGACGGUCUUGCUGUCACUUAUAGAUGGAUCCGCGCUGCAUUAGCUAGUUGGUAAGGUAACGGCUUACCAAGGCAACGAUGCAUAGCCGACCUGAGAGGGUGAUCGGCCACACUGGAACUGAGACACGGUCCAGACUCCUACGGGAGGCAGCAGUAGGGAAUCUUCGGCAAAGGGCGAAAGCCUGACGGAGCAACGCCGCGUGAGUGAUGAAGGUCUUCGGAUCGUAAAACUCUGUUAUUAGGGAAGAACAUAUGUGUAAGUAACUGUGCACAUCUUGACGGUACCUAAUCAGAAAGCCACGGCUAACUACGUG